This 75-nucleotide transfer RNA is filed under the name Planctomycetota bacterium. Its description in RNAcentral is "Planctomycetes bacterium tRNA-Lys". It matches the Rfam family "tRNA". From Rfam's summary of the family: Transfer RNA (tRNA) molecules are approximately 80 nucleotides in length. Their secondary structure includes four short double-helical elements and three loops (D, anti-codon, and T loops). Lineage: Bacteria; Pseudomonadati; Planctomycetota. The record is from RNAcentral.
GGGGGCGUAGCUCAGGGGCAGAGCAGCUGGCUUUUAACCAGUUGGUCGCAGGUUCAAUUCCUGCCGCCCCCACCA